Molecule: non-coding RNA, 72 nt
Organism: Euleptes europaea (tarantolino)
Lineage: Eukaryota; Metazoa; Chordata; Lepidosauria; Squamata; Sphaerodactylidae
Source: the annotation of a RefSeq genome assembly
AGGGCUGUGGCUCGGUGGUAGAGCAUUCGCUUUACAUGCAAAAGGCCCCAGGUUCAAUCCCUGGCAACCCCA